CCACCAUCGUCGCUCAAGAAAAAAAAACUGCCGCCAGACAAACACAUCUCCUCCCCACCUCUGCCCGCCCCUCGCUCCCGAUCUCGUCUCUCUCCUGCCAAAUAUCGUCGAACGAGCGCAGCGGAGGCACCGAGAAGGAGGGGGUCGGCUCGCUCGCUUUUGCUGCUCACGAUCAUGCCCACCGCCGAGCCCCAAGUCGCGGGACACCGGGCGCGGCCACCCCCGCUGCCGCCUUCGCAGGGACGGGAAGAGCAGGGCCGCGGGAGUCGGCGAGGCCUCCAAGGAGGGCGCCGUCCCCGAACCCGACCCCCACCCCCAGGCGAGUUCCGGUUCCGCCGCCCUGUAAUCCGCUCGAGACCGCCUCCCCGCGUGUGUCUUCGUUGCCAUCCGGCCUUAUUCCUGGAUUGGGUCUUGUGACCACAAACCUAGAGACAUACAAGAUCGAUGAGAUGUGAUCGUUGGUAGUAACUAAGGUGGUUUGGUGUUUCAUGAAGUUUUACAGAUUGGUGCUCAUGCCGUGGUGGUAUGCCAGCUGUUGCAGCAUGCGUUAGCAAUCAACACCAGGACUCCAUAAAGACCCAAAGAGAAGCAGAGGAACAAUGAAGAUAUGUAUAUACCGAGCAUGUAGUGCAGCCUGCAAGUUGCCGGCAUUCUUCAGGGAACUCUGAAGCAUGUGGUUCAAGUAAAUAUUGUACGGUCAGGGAAAAUCUUUGCAUAUUCAGGAGCAGACCGCAAGCUGCUGGUGCGAAAACACAAUUGGUACCGUACAGCAGGCAAAGCUUCACUACAGAGUUCUGCAUAGGGAUAUGCAUUUUGCAAAGGUUUGAUGCAUGACAUGAUUGCAGAUGCGUGUAGAUUUCAGCUUGUGCAAGAUAAAAAAUGAAGGCAAGGAGGGAGGGGCAGAAGAAAUGAUGAUUGUCGAGGGGGGAAGAAGUGGGAUAAAAUCAGUUUAUUGAUGUUAGUGCGCGCCGACUAGGCCGGCCCAACUGUAGCCGAGGCCAAGCCCAGCUGGCGAGGGGAAUCCGGGUCGGACCCGCACCACCGUCGCCCCCUCCCCAAGCCGAGGCCCCUCGGGCCUUUAUAAGUGGAGCCCCGCCACCGCCCUCCUCCCCACAAGCCGCCACCGCCCCGCACCGCCUCCACCGAACGCCGCCGCCGGAGCCGAAGCCUGAUCCGCCGUUGCCGAUGCCGACCCCGCCAUUGACCUCGCCGCCCGUUUUGACUGAGUUUCCGGAGUGCGAGGCUUGCUACUACGAAUCGCUAGGGUUUUUGGAUCG
This is a non-coding RNA of Triticum urartu, 1277 nucleotides long. NCBI's taxonomy places the organism in Eukaryota, Viridiplantae, Streptophyta, Magnoliopsida, Poales, Poaceae. The record is from RefSeq and is a predicted model, not a curated record.